UACAGAGGGUGCAAGCGUUGUUCGGAAUUACUGGGCGUAAAGCGCGUGUAGGCGGUUUGGCAAGUCAGACGUGAAAUCCCUAGGCUUAACCAAGGAAUGGCGUCUGAUACUGCCAGGCUUGAGUGUCGGAGGGGAUGGCGGAAUUCCCGGUGUAGAGGUGAAAUUCGUAGAUAUCGGGAGGAACACCUGUGGCGAAGGCGGCCAUCUGGAAGACAACUGACGCUGAGACGCGAAAGCGUGGGGAGCAAAC
Molecule: ribosomal RNA, 250 nt
Filed under: uncultured bacterium
Lineage: Bacteria
Description: partial 16S ribosomal RNA
Rfam family: Bacterial small subunit ribosomal RNA
Source: RNAcentral